GGUUAUAUGCCCGAAAGAAUAAGGAUUAUUUUGAUAGAAUAAAUUAUAAGAGUUCAAACCUCUUUAUAACCC
RNAcentral lists this transfer RNA (72 nucleotides) under Schistometopum gregorii. Its description in RNAcentral is "tRNA-Ile". Lineage: Eukaryota; Metazoa; Chordata; Amphibia; Gymnophiona; Dermophiidae. The record is from RNAcentral.